Molecule: ribosomal RNA, 302 nt
Filed under: uncultured bacterium
Lineage: Bacteria
Description: partial 16S ribosomal RNA
Rfam family: Bacterial small subunit ribosomal RNA
Source: RNAcentral
GCAGCAGCCACGGGAAUACAGAGGGUGCGAGCGUUAAUCGGAUUUACUGGGCGUAAAGCGUGCGUAGGCGGCUUCUUAAGUCGGAUGUGAAAUCCCUGAGCUUAACUUAGGAAUUGCAUUCGAUACUGGGAAGCUAGAGUAUGGGAGAGGAUGGUAGAAUUCCAGGUGUAGCGGUGAAAUGCGUAGAGAUCUGGAGGAAUACCGAUGGCGAAGGCAGCCAUCUGGCCUAAUACUGACGCUGAGGUACGAAAGCAUGGGGAGCAAACAGGAUUAGAUACCCGGGUAGUCCCUGUCUCUUAUAC